GCAAGUCGAACGAGAAACCUGAAUAGCUUGCUAAUUGGGUUUCUAGUGGCGGACGGGUUAGUAACACGUGAGCAACCUGCCUCAAAGUGGGGGAUAGCCUUCCGAAAGGGAGAUUAAUACCGCAUGUGGCCUUCGGGUCAAAGGUGCCUUCGGGUAUCGCUUUGAGAUGGGCUCGCGGCCUAUCAGCUAGAUGGUGAGGUAACGGCUCACCAUGGCAACGACGGGUAGCUGUUCUGAGAGGAAGAUU
This 247-nucleotide ribosomal RNA is filed under the name uncultured bacterium. RNAcentral describes it as "partial 16S ribosomal RNA". It matches the Rfam family "Bacterial small subunit ribosomal RNA", at positions 57 to 305 of the family's 1533-position model. The record is from RNAcentral.